UGGGGAAUAUUGGACAAUGGGCGCAAGCCUGAUCCAGCCAUGCCGCGUGAGUGAUGAAGGCCCUAGGGUUGUAAAGCUCUUUCACCGGUGAAGAUAAUGACGGUAACCGGAGAAGAAGCCCCGGCUAACUUCGUGCCAGCAGCCGCGGUAAUACGAAGGGGGCUAGCGUUGUUCGGAAUUACUGGGCGUAAAGCGCACGUAGGCGGAUAUUUAAGUCAGGGGUGAAAUCCCGAGGCUCAACCUCGGAACUGCCUUUGAUACUGGGUAUCUAGAGUCCGGAAGAGGUGAGUGGAAUUCCGAGUGUAGAGGUGAAAUUCGUAGAUAUUCGGAGGAACACCAGUGGCGAAGGCGGCUCACUGGUCCGGUACUGACGCUGAGGUGCGAAAGCGUGGGGAGCAAACA
Molecule: ribosomal RNA, 402 nt
Filed under: uncultured prokaryote
Description: bacterial SSU rRNA
Rfam family: Bacterial small subunit ribosomal RNA
Source: RNAcentral